GGAGAGGUGGCAGAGUUGGUCGAUUGUGUCUGACUUGAAAUCAGGUGAAGUAAUGCUUCCGUGGGUUCGAAUCCCACCCUCUCCA
RNAcentral lists this transfer RNA (85 nucleotides) under Haptophyceae sp. NIES-3900. RNAcentral's name for it is "tRNA-Ser". It matches the Rfam family "tRNA". From Rfam's summary of the family: Transfer RNA (tRNA) molecules are approximately 80 nucleotides in length. The record is from RNAcentral. Lineage: Eukaryota; Haptophyta.